This 964-nucleotide ribosomal RNA is filed under the name human gut metagenome. RNAcentral describes it as "bacterial LSU rRNA". It matches the Rfam family "Bacterial large subunit ribosomal RNA", at positions 1945 to 2909 of the family's 2925-position model. The record is from RNAcentral.
ACGGUCCUAAGGUAGCGAAAUUCCUUGUCGGGUAAGUUCCGACCCGCACGAAAGGUGUAACGAUUUGGGCACUGUCUCAACGAGGGACCCGGUGAAAUUGAAAUACCUGUGAAGAUGCAGGUUACCCGCGACUGGACAGAAAGACCCCAUGGAGCUUUACUGUAACCUGACAUUGGGUUUUGUUGUAUUACGUACAGGAUAGGUGGGAGGCUUAGAAGGCUGGACGCUAGUCUGGCUGGAGCCGGCGUUGGGAUACCACCCUUGAUACAACGGAAUUCUAACCGAGAGAGUAACGAAAUCCGGGACAGUGUCAGGCGGGCAGUUUGACUGGGGCGGUCGCCUCCGAAAGAGUAACGGAGGCGCCCAAAGGUUCCCUCAGCGCGGCCGGAAAUCGCGCGAAGAGUGUAAAGGCAGAAGGGAGCUUGACUGCGAGCCAAACACGGCGAGCAGGUACGAAAGUAGGGCUUAGUGAUCCGGUGGUACCGAGUGGAAGGGCCAUCGCUCAACGGAUAAAAGCUACCCUGGGGAUAACAGGCUAAUCUCUCCCAAGAGUCCAUAUCGACGGGGAGGUUUGGCACCUCGAUGUCGGCUCAUCACAUCCUGGGGCUGAAGUCGGUCCCAAGGGUUGGGCUGUUCGCCCAUUAAAGUGGUACGUGAGCUGGGUUCAGAACGUCGUGAGACAGUUCGGUCCCUAUCCAUCGCGGGCGUAAGAGAUUUGAAGGGGGCUGCUCCUAGUACGAGAGGACCGGAGUGGACGGACCGCUGGUGUACCAAUUAUCCUGCCAAGGGUAUAGUUGGGUAGCUACGUCCGGAACGGAUAAACGCUGAAAGCAUCUAAGCGUGAAACCAUCCUUAAGAUGAGAUCUCUCAUAGAGUAAUCUAGUAAGACACCUUGAAGAUUACAAGGUUGAUAGGCAGGAUGUGUAAGCACAGCAAUGUGUUAAGCUGACCUGUACUAAUAUGU